Diorhabda sublineata is the source of this 1421-nucleotide long non-coding RNA. RefSeq lists it as uncharacterized. The transcript has 2 exons. NCBI's taxonomy places the organism in Eukaryota, Metazoa, Arthropoda, Insecta, Coleoptera, Chrysomelidae. The record is from RefSeq and is a predicted model, not a curated record.
AAUAUUAACAGAACUUGAAAGAUAACAGAGUGGUUCAAUAAUGAAUUUUUUCCAUAAAAUGAAGUGAAGUACAGAACUAAAAAUGGGACAUUUGAUACACUUAGAAACAAUAAAUUUCACUGUCAAAAAUAUAAACGUAUAUAUAACUAUAUAAUGAUGUAAAAAGUACCUAAAUAUCACUUAGUUAAAAAAAUUUAAUACUAUGCAAGAUUAAUUCCAAUAAAUGUAUACAAACUUAUAUUUUCAGCAAUUAUUAAUAUCAAUUAUGGAUACAUAUGUUUUCUUAUGAAAUAAACAAAUUUGAAGUUUGAUGAAUGGAUUUGGAAGGUAACCCACUAAAUCAAUAUGAGAUGAGGGAUGUGUAUAAAAUCUAAGAGUUCGAUUAGUUUCAUUGAAGCCUACAACAUGGGAAUAAUUUACUGGUAUUUGAAUUAAAACAGACUAAAAACUAUCGUGAAUACAUGAACAUUGAUCGUUUUGAAGAACAAAACAUCCAGCAAAUGAAAAAACACCAAAGGGUUUUUUAUAGAAAAAAAGAUUCUACCAUAUCUAAGUUGGAAUUUCUGGAAAUGUUGUAACUAAAAAGUUAUCUGCAGACUGUCUGAGACUAAAUUUCGAGUUUUGGUGUAGUUGUAGUGAACAAUGUUUAGUACACAAACAAAAUGAGAUGCUUGAAAUUAUGUUACAUCUUUGUGCCACUCAAGAAAUAAUAUAUCAGUACUUUGCAUUCUACUAUAUCCCCAACAAAUUAAAUUGAACCCCUGCAGCAAGCCAUAACAACACUUACAAAUAUUGAACAACUUUUGCAAAAGGUGGUGAUUAGAAUACAAGAAUGUAGGAAGGUAAUAACAUGCUUGAAAACAUUGUCCAUUUGAACCCCAAUGAUGACACAAAUUUGAAAAUUAGAUUUUUGAACGUUAAAUGUUAAAAGCUGAUUUUUAUUGUAUUUAAUUUUAUUCCAAUAUAUCAAAUUUCAAUUUUACUCAUAUUUAUAUCUAUUAUCCAAUUUCAUUUAUUUAUAAAAAAGUAUAAACCUAAUUACUAUCAUAUACACUACAUGCAGUAUAGCAUGUUUCUAUGUACAUUUUAGUGUGACCAUAAUUCAAGACAGAUGGUGGAACUUAAAUAACUGGAACACGAAAUUAACACAAAUGAUACUUUAUGAUAUAUUACGACCGAUUUAUAAUACAAUCAUAUCAAAUUUAAAUUUGAUUUUAUUAUAGAUGUAAAUCCUGAUACACAAAAAUAUAUGACAGUUGUUUAAUUAAAAAUAAAAGUGAUAUUCUCUUAUAAGAAACAUAUUUCUGUUAUUUUGUUGAUAUUUAUUUCAUCACAGUGUAAAUUUAUGUAUUAAACUCUAAGCUUCAAUGAUACUUGUUUAAAAUCUGUCACUUCGGAUGACUAAUAAAACCUUAAUAAAA